Molecule: ribosomal RNA, 708 nt
Filed under: Porticoccus sp.
Lineage: Bacteria; Pseudomonadati; Pseudomonadota; Gammaproteobacteria; Cellvibrionales; Porticoccaceae
Description: bacterial SSU rRNA
Rfam family: Bacterial small subunit ribosomal RNA
Source: RNAcentral
AUUGAACGCUGGCGGCAGGCCUAACACAUGCAAGUCGAGCGUGAAAGUUCCUUCGGGAGCGAGUAGAGCGGCGGACGGGUGAGUAACGCGUAGGAAUCUGCCCAGUAGUGGGGGACAACUCGAGGAAACUCGAGCUAAUACCGCAUACGCCCUAAGGGGGAAAGCAGGGGAUCUUCGGACCUUGUGCUAUUGGAUGAGCCUGCGUCGGAUUAGCUAGUUGGUGGGGUAAUGGCCUACCAAGGCAACGAUCCGUAGCUGGUCUGAGAGGAUGAUCAGCCACACUGGGACUGAGACACGGCCCAGACUCCUACGGGAGGCAGCAGUGGGGAAUAUUGGACAAUGGGGGCAACCCUGAUCCAGCCAUGCCGCGUGUGUGAAGAAGGCCUUCGGGUUGUAAAGCACUUUCAGCAGGGAGGAAAAGCUAAUGGCUAAUAACCAUUAGCCCUGACGUUACCUGCAGAAGAAGCACCGGCAAACUCCGUGCCAGCAGCCGCGGUAAUACGGAGGGUGCGAGCGUUAAUCGGAAUUACUGGGCGUAAAGCGCGCGUAGGCGGUUUGAUUAGCUGGAUGUGAAAGCCCCGGGCUCAACCUGGGAAUUGCAUCCAGAACUGUCAGACUAGAGUACAGUAGAGGUGAGUGGAAUUUCCUGUGUAGCGGUGAAAUGCGUAGAUAUAGGAAGGAACAUCAGUGGCGAAGGCGGCUCACUGG